RNAcentral lists this ribosomal RNA (253 nucleotides) under uncultured bacterium. RNAcentral describes it as "partial 16S ribosomal RNA". It matches the Rfam family "Bacterial small subunit ribosomal RNA", at positions 524 to 776 of the family's 1533-position model. The record is from RNAcentral.
UACGGGGGGAGCAAGCGUUGUUCGGAAUCACUGGGCGUAAAGGGCGCGUAGGCGGUUUGGUAAGUGAGAUGUGAAAGGCUCCGGCUCACCCGGAGAGAUGCAUCUCAUACUGUCAAGCUAGAGUGCAGCAGAGGAGACGAGAAUUCCAGGUGUAGCGGUGAAAUGCGUAGAUAUCUGGAGGAAUACCGGUGGCGAAGGCGCGUCUCUGGGCUGCUACUGACGCUGAUGCGCGAUAGCCAGGGGAGCAAACGGG